Quercus robur (English oak) is the source of this 993-nucleotide long non-coding RNA. RefSeq lists it as uncharacterized. Lineage: Eukaryota; Viridiplantae; Streptophyta; Magnoliopsida; Fagales; Fagaceae. The transcript has 2 exons. The record is from RefSeq and is a predicted model, not a curated record.
UUUUUCUUCCCAUUUUUUAGAUUUGGGUAUGAAAUGUUACUUUUGAUUGAGUUUUUUUGUUGGAUAGGUUUAGAUUUAAUUCGUUUUUGUUUUGGGUUUUUGGAUUCUCUGCCAAAACGUUUUUUGUCAAAUUUAUAAAUAUGCAAAAACUCUCUACUGUUUUUUGUUUUUUGAAACUUCAAACCGUUGAGUUUCCCCUGUUGAGACGUCUAGGAUUCUUCUUUGACCCCUUUUGAAAAAUAGACGGCUCUAUUCUCUUUCUUUGAUGCUUUCGUCUCAAAUUAUCAUCUCUGGUUCUUACAAAAACAAAACAGUCGGUUCUAUCAUUGUUUUUUCUACAGUUUGGCGUGGACUACAAAAAAGCAUAGGCGUAGGGGAGAUGGAGAGACAUCUCAGGCCAGCACCAUUAUCGGACUCUAACCACCAUAAAAUUUGCAUCCCUCAACUGGCGGUACACUGUUACAGGUGGGUAUUCUUUGCUUAGGGAUCCGUAGUACAACAAAGGACUUACCAAUGCUUUGGUCAUUCAGUUGACUCAUUGCUGCCAGUCUGUACUUGCUGUCAUGCUAGCAAAAACAGGGAUUUAGCCGGUUUUACAUAUUAUUGAAUUUGAACCAAUGACUCGCCGUAUGAAAGCGAACCGCUGAGUCAAGUAAGUCAAGCUGAGUCAAAUCAGAGAAAAAGACUCCUAUAAGAGAGCCGUUUGGGAAGAUGGUAUAUGGGAUGGAUGUCGUCUACAAGAGUGACGUAGAAGGAUAUAUUUAGUUAUUGUUUUGGGAUGUUAUUCUAUUUGGUCAAAGAGAACUUUUAAAUCCUCUUAUUAUUGUUGAGAUUUGUAGAUUGUACAUAUUUGUUUUACUGUGAUUAAAUAAAGGUUAAUUGAUGCAUUUUCUUAGAGAUAAUUAUUAUUGUAGAUGUUUAAAUGAAGCAGAGCAUGAACACUGACUGAACCCUACUGAAUUGUUAUAGCAAUGUUAACUAUUGUUUGUCCAA